GAUGAACGCUGGCGGCGUGCCUAAUACAUGCAAGUCGAGCGAACGGACGAGAAGCUUGCUUCUCUGAUGUUAGCGGCGGACGGGUGAGUAACACGUGGAUAACCUACCUAUAAGACUGGGAUAACUUCGGGAAACCGGAGCUAAUACCGGAUAAUAUUUUGAACCGCAUGGUUCAAAAGUAAAAGACGGUCUUGCUGUCACUUAUAGAUGGAUCCGCGCUGCAUUAGCUAGUUGGUAAGGUAACGGCUUACCAAGGCAACGAUGCAUAGCCGACCUGAGAGGGUGAUCGGCCACACUGGAACUGAGACACGGUCCAGACUCCUACGGGAGGCAGCAGUAGGGAAGCUUCCGCAAUGGGCGAAAGCCUGACGGAGCAACGCCGCGUGAGUGAUGAAGGUCUUCGGAUCGUAAAACUCUGUUAUUAGGGAAGAACAUAUGUGUAAGUAACUGUGCACAUCUUGACGGUACCUAAUCAGAAAGCCACGGCUAACUACGU
Molecule: ribosomal RNA, 496 nt
Filed under: uncultured bacterium
Lineage: Bacteria
Description: partial 16S ribosomal RNA
Rfam family: Bacterial small subunit ribosomal RNA
Source: RNAcentral